RNAcentral lists this ribosomal RNA (492 nucleotides) under uncultured bacterium. Its description in RNAcentral is "partial 16S ribosomal RNA". It matches the Rfam family "Bacterial small subunit ribosomal RNA", at positions 29 to 507 of the family's 1533-position model. The record is from RNAcentral.
AGUGAACGCUGGCGGUAGGCCUAACACAUGCAAGUCGAACGGCAGCACAGUAAGAGCUUGCUCUUACGGGUGGCGAGUGGCGGACGGGUGAGGAAUACAUCGGAAUCUACUUUUUCGUGGGGGAUAACGUAGGGAAACUUACGCUAAUACCGCAUACGACCUACGGGUGAAAGCAGGGGAUCUUCGGACCUUGCGCGAUUGAAUGAGCCGAUGUCGGAUUAGCUAGUUGGCGGGGUAAAGGCCCACCAAGGCGACGAUCCGUAGCUGGUCUGAGAGGAUGAACAGCCACACUGGAAAUGAGACACGGUCCAGACUCCUAAGGGAGGCAGCAGUGGGGAAUAUUGGACAAUGGGCGCAAGCCUGAUCCAGCCAUACCGCGUGGGUGAAGAAGGGCUUCGGGUUGUAAAGCCCUUUUGUUGGGAAAGAAAAGCAGCAGGUUAAUACCCCGCUGUUCUGACGGUACCCAAAGAAUAAGCACCGGCUAACUUCGUG